Molecule: long non-coding RNA, 514 nt
Filed under: Homo sapiens (human)
Lineage: Eukaryota; Metazoa; Chordata; Mammalia; Primates; Hominidae
Description: non-protein coding lnc-NSRP1-3:1
Source: RNAcentral
UCUUCAGGCGUGCCACCGCUGCCGGGCCUGCUGUACGACCCGCGGGCUCUGGGCCAUGCCUGCUCUUGCGCCCGGCUCAGGAGGACCCUUCUUGAUCCAGGAGUGGACCCUGGUCUCAUUGGAGCCAGUUGGGGUCUUGUGGCGGCCUGUUAGGGAUGUGAUCCAGCGCUUUGGAGGCAGGGCUUCAAGCUGGUAGGGAUGAAGAUCCUGUGGCCGGCCAGAAAGCGUCCUUGCUGAACACUACCAGGACCUGCGAAGGAAGCCCCUCUACCCAGCCCUCCUUAGCUAUGUGAGCUCCAGGCCUGUUGAUGGCCAUGGUCUGGGAAGGGUACAAUGUGAUCCAUGCCUCGAGGGCCAUGAUAGAUACCCUGACAGGGUUGAGGCUGACUCUGUGACCAUAUGGGGAGACUUCAGCGACGUCCACAUCAGCAGGAACAUCAUUCACACCAGCUAUUCAGGGUAGGGGGUCAGAAAGAGAUCCAGCUGUGGUUUGAAAGCAGUGAGCUGGUGAACU